This 700-nucleotide ribosomal RNA is filed under the name uncultured bacterium. Its description in RNAcentral is "bacterial SSU rRNA". It matches the Rfam family "Bacterial small subunit ribosomal RNA", at positions 8 to 708 of the family's 1533-position model. The record is from RNAcentral.
AGAGUUUGAUCCUGGCUCAGGAUGAACGCUAGCGGCAGGCCUAAUACAUGCAAGACGAACGGGAAUCGGCAGCAAUGCUGAGGAGAGUGUCGUAAGGGUGCGUAACACGUAUGCAAUUUGCCCGCAACUGGGGCAUAGCUCGGGGAAACUCGAAUUAACUCCCCAUAACAUAUAGAGAUGGCAUCAUUUUUAUAUUAAAUUUCCGGAGGUUGCGGAUAAGCAUGCGCCUGAUUAGUUAGUUGGCGGGGUAACGGCCCACCAAGACGAUGAUCAGUAGGGGAACUGAGAGGUUGAUCCCCCACACUGGCACUGAGAUACGGGCCAGACUCCUACGGGAGGCAGCAGUAGGGAAUAUUGGACAAUGGGUGCAAGCCUGAUCCAGCCAUGCCGCGUGCAGGAAGACGGCCUUCUGGGUUGUAAACUGCUUUUGUCAGGGGAUAAAAAGCUCGUGCGCGAGAAAUUGAAUGUACCUGGCGAAUAAGCCACGGCUAACUACGUGCCAGCAGCCGCGGUAAUACGUAGGUGGCAAGCGUUGUCCGGAUUUAUUGGGUUUAAAGGGUGCGUAGGCGGUCCUGUAAGUCAGUGGUGAAAUACGGCAGCUCAACUGUCGAGGUGCCAUUGAUACUGCGGGACUUGAGUGUUGAUGAGGUAGGCGGAAUUGACGGUGUAGCGGUGAAAUGCUUAGAUAUCGUCAAGAACA